This 798-nucleotide ribosomal RNA is filed under the name Triticum aestivum (bread wheat). RNAcentral's name for it is "partial small subunit ribosomal RNA". The record is from RNAcentral. Lineage: Eukaryota; Viridiplantae; Streptophyta; Magnoliopsida; Poales; Poaceae.
AUGAAGUGGCAGCCGUUCAUGUCCAUGUUCGUGCUGAACAAGAUGUGUGAGCUCAUCUCUAAUGGAGUUAGGACUGACAAGGGCUUCAAGGAGGUGCACUUGAACACCGUUGCGAAGCAGGUGUUCGAGUUCUGUGGGCAAGAGGUGUCUGCCACCCAGGUGACCACCCAAGGGGCGCUGGCAACUGGGAAGCAUGCCAUGGGCUCGGGUGAGCCUCUUGGUUCUCCCAUGCCAGACUUCCCUGGGACACCGGACGUCGAGGUCCUUGAUGGCCCUAACAAGCCCGCUGCGAAGCCCUUCAACAAGCCAUUUGACCCCAACCAUGAUAGGAAGAGGAAGAGAGGAGGCCUGAUGGAGGAGGAGAUCAAUGUCUUUUGCAGCAUGACUGAGGCGGUGAAGGAGGUGGCAACAGCCAUCAGGGAGUGCAAGCCCCUCGAUGUCCACCCUGACCUGUAUGGCGCUGUCAUGACCCAGGGUGGAUUCAGCGACGAGGCUCUCAUGGCAGCUCUCAGCCACCUGCUUGACAACAAGGCUCAGGGUGUUGGGUUCGUUGCCAUGGCUGACACUCACAGGGGCAAGUGGUAUGCCGUGUUCAUCGGUGAGGUUCCAGGGGUUUAUAGUUCAUGGGAAGAAGCCAAUGUACAAGUGGCAUCGUAUAGCAACUGCAACUAUAGAGGGUUCAAAACUAGGCAGGCAGUAGAACAAGCUUACUCCGCCUGGGUGCGAAAGCACGGAGGCAACAGUGUCGACAGUGCCAAGGUUGGAGUUGUCAAAGUGGAAGCUGCUAAGGUGGAUCGU